This 203-nucleotide long non-coding RNA is filed under the name Mytilus galloprovincialis (Mediterranean mussel). The record is from RNAcentral. Lineage: Eukaryota; Metazoa; Mollusca; Bivalvia; Mytilida; Mytilidae.
UGCAUUUAAAUACUUUCACCAAGAAACUUUACUUGGUGCAGCAAAUCUACUUGGUGCACUGCAUUUAAGAGAGACUGCUAACUGCAUGGAGGUUGUUGGAGAGAAUAUCAACGUAGGAACAUGCGUUCCGUAUUUUAUACAACGUGUGACGUAAUACACAAGUUAUUCCUAAACAAGAACACGUAACGUUACAUUUGGCGCGC